AGGGACGUCCCGGAAGCGACUGGCUCUUUUUUUCUGGUCGCUGCAGAGUGAGGGUGUGACGGGCCAGCAAGGACAGCAACAGUCGAGGAGAAAGGAGAGAAUGCCAGAGAGAUGGAGCCCAAACCUGAACCCAGGAUCAAAGGGCAACUGAGUAGCACUCGCUCUGGAGUUCUCGGUCGGCUGCGCCGCUGACUUGCCAAAUUUGCCUAAGCCCGUUUGUUGGUGUUUGCAGGUCCUAACUGAUGCGGUGCCAUUUUUCAAGUACAGAAUUGGAUAAGCGUUGGAGACAGGGAGCAGCCAGCAGGUGCAAGCACUUCUGUGGAUCCAGUCCCUUUCCUUCUGAUUCUGUCUCCGUGUACACUUCGUAUCACAAAUCAGGGUCUUGCCCUGGAAAACAUCUCCCGACCCCUCUUGCUGGCCUGGCACCUGCACGGGGCUUAGCUGUGACUCCAUACAGCAUCCCUAGUAAGUGCUCCAGUGCAUGCAAGAUUCAUCCCACACCACAGUCCUUGCGGGCAUCAUUACUGGUGUAAUCAUGGUCAGGUGCAGGAGUCACCUGAGUUCCCAAGACACUUGCUCCAGUUGGCAUUGCACCAAAAUCCAUUACAGGCGUUCUCAGCUCCUGCGCUCCCGCUGACUCAGGCCACCCUCACGGUGAGAAUGCAGCAGACUAGGAUGAUCAGGCAGUGUUUCAAGCCGGCCCUGGACCUGGAGAGGCUGUUGAUGGUGAGGCACAGUGGAGAUGAGCCCAGCUAGGGCAGGGUUGGGAGAGCAGCCUGGCUGAGGGUUGAGAGCAGCCUCAAGCAGCUGGUGUGGUGCAGGCAUAGACUGGCUGUUGUUUGCAUGAGCACCGGCUUUGGAGUCAGUCCCAAGUUCUAGUCCAGAGACUGAAUCUUUUCUAGCUGUGACAUUGAGAGCUCUGCCCUCAUUUCUCUGAGCUUCAGCUUUCUUGCCUGCUAAAUGGGCUUGGUGAUACCCACCUCUCAGGAUGCUGGGGAGAUUAGGAACAGUCUGUAUUAGGGACAAUGCACAGCAGUCACUAUUGUGAUCACCAGGACCAGCCAGGGUGGGGGUGCAGGCCCAUCAGACUAAAGUCAGUGUAAAGCCACCAGCCUCAGACACCCGAUGCUUAGGCCAAUGGCCUGGACCCCACUGAGCAAUGUCAGCCCCAUUGUCUGAGGGAUGUUGAACCUGAUGCUGUCCUACUUAGAAUGAGCUCCUAGAAAGCACCUAGCUCUGCCUCCUCAUGGACAAAUCAGGAGACUGAGCCCCAGAUGUUUGCUCAAUGCCACACAGCAUGGUGGUAGCUGAGCCAGCAUUGGAACCCAGCCUCAUGACUUCAAGCCAUGUGGUCAUCCAAGGACUAAAAAUUAUGUGCUUAAGAGUAUAGGCUUUGGAGCCAGACAGACCUGAGCUCCAGUCCCAGCUCUGCAACUUUCAUUCAUUCAACAAAUACUCGUUGAGUUCUUGUCAUGUGCCAGGCACCAUGCCCAGUGCAACAGACACAGGAGGACAAGACCUACAUGGCCCUGGCCUCUCGCUGCUCAGUCUGGUGAGAAGAAAUACCCAGUGAAUGAACAAGCUCAUCACCCACUGUGAGAAAGCAGCAAGGCACAGACACAGGAUGGGCCCUGAAAGACACAGGGACAGUGGGUGCUGGAGGGCCACUCAGGGCAUUCAGGGAGGGCAUCUCAGGAAGGGGACAUCUGAUCUGGGAACUGGACACCAGGCAAGAGCCAGGUAUGCAGGACCGGAGAAGGGUGUCCAUGCAAAGAGCUCAGAAUGAUGGGGGAAGAAGAGCCUGGAGUGCGCAGGAGCGUGCAGGAGGGACGUGGACAGACAGGGUAGAGCCAGGACAGGUGGGCCUCAGAGGUCAUGGUCAGGAGCACAGUGCUCAUGCACACAGCAGCAGGAGGCACUGGAGGGUUUGAGCAGGUGAGUGAUGGGAUCUGGCCUGUUUUUUCAAACGAUCACACUGGUUGCUGUUGUUUGUGUGACCUUGUUGGCUCUCUGACCUGGGGCAAGUUGCUUAAGCUCUCUAAGCCUCAGUCUCCUCAUCUGUAAAAUGGCGAUGAUCAUAGUACCUACCUCACAGGUGGAACUGGAGACUGACAUAUGACAGUCUACAGAGAGCACUGAGCAAUGUGCAUUUCAGUGCCGAAUAAAGCUUUGCUUUCUUAC
RNAcentral lists this long non-coding RNA (2181 nucleotides) under Homo sapiens (human). RNAcentral's name for it is "long non-coding RNA NONHSAT151342.1". The record is from RNAcentral. Lineage: Eukaryota; Metazoa; Chordata; Mammalia; Primates; Hominidae.